Molecule: long non-coding RNA, 1886 nt
Filed under: Equus caballus (horse)
Lineage: Eukaryota; Metazoa; Chordata; Mammalia; Perissodactyla; Equidae
Description: lncRNA (ENSECAG00000055588.1)
Source: RNAcentral
GGCAAAAGAGCCUGCUCCCUCCGGACCUGCUCUCCCCUCCCCCUCCUCCUCCUCCUCCCUCACCAGGAAAGCGACGGUGCCUCUGGGUCCUAGCUGCUCCCACUGCAGCGGCAGACCACGGAGAGCUGCCCCAGACACCUGCUGCCCUUUUCUCUCCGUGAACCUGGAGAGGAGGUUCCCCGUUGCAGUGAGCAUGAAAAACCCAGACCUGAAAGGGAGGGCGUGUUUUCACAGCACCUUCUCCUCGUCAGCCUCUUUCCAACGCUCCUGAAAACCGGCUCUGAAAAGAUCUGCUCUGUUCAGACAACGACUAACCGGGCUCCUCACCCAGAGCCCGAGGGUGAGGGAGAGGAAAACCGUGUCAUUAAGUUUGAGGGACAGGCCUUGGAGAGGCACAGAGACACAGGACCUCAGUGCGGGAUCACGAAGUCCAGACUUUCUGGUUUACAAGGGAAGCUGUUAUGGCCCAGAGAGGGCUGGUCUGAGAUGAUACAGACUCCCCAGGUCCUGAGUGAGUACCACGACACCACGAAGGGUUGUGCAUGUGCUUGAGUCUUCUAAUUUUACUUUUUGUGGCUCUCCAGUGAAUCACAAGCUCUUUGAGAUAGUAUAAGAUGGAGGUUAGGGACGUGGGCUUUGGAAUCAGACAGAUGUGAGUUCGAAACCUGACUCUACCAGCACUGGGAACAUGGAUCAUCACCCACUCCGGGCGAGCACUUAUCUCAGAGGCGUGACAGCACGUUUAACGUGGCGUCUCCUUUAUUACAAACGGAGCAGAAGACAGGAGCACAACCCGAUGGUGAUGUGUCUUAGUGCGAGGAAAAUUCCACCAGCAAGAACUUGAAUUUUGGACAAAGGGAGACUCGGGGUGUGUGUGGGAGCGGGGACAGUGAGAUUCUUAGAGGCCUCUCAGUUUCUUCCAUUCGACUCCGAGCCUUUCCCAGCAUUAGACUCACUUUUGGAACUUUAGGUCCUCAUAGAGCGACGGAUCUUAUGGGACAGUACUUCCCAUAUUUGAUUACUUAUAGUCUAUCUUGAAUUAAAAGCUUAUUGUACCAAAAUAGGGGGCUUUUGCAUGGUGCUGGUGAACAGGGGGUGCUAUCCUGUCACCAUGACAACAGUCAUUUGCAUUAGAGCUCCUCAGGCCACAGUCCAAUCACGUGGCCCGGAGGGACCCCUUUGAAGCCCUUGUAGUCUUUUCCCCGAGUGUGAUUGCUAACAUCUUCUGAACAUAAUCAUUAACCAUGUUCGUAACAGAUAAUUAGCUACCGUACUUAGCGUUUUCCAUCCCUGAGUGCUCUGUGGAAUUCCGAAUGCAAGACCUAGUCUGGUGUUACUUUACCUAACCAAGUGAAAUAAAGCAGUUUGGCUUCUUGAAACCUAGGAAAGUUUGCAUUUCACACAAAAAUAUGGUGCUGACCCCAGGGUCAAGCAUGUGUGUCUGUCACGUGCUCUGGGCCGUUCUGGGCCUCUGUCUUUGACCACCUCCCCAGGUUGCGCCGGCGAUGCUGGGGGCUCCCUUCUCCUGUAUGUGUCUCCUCUUUCCCCGCCAUGUCUGCUCACUUAGUGAACUUCCAGUGCCAGCUUGUGCUUCGGGUUCCUUGCACUCACUUGCCAGGAUACAUAGGGAUUUUUUGUUUUUCUGUUUAUAGAAGUUUUCCCUGUAGAUUUCUGUUUAUCACCUAACAUCAUUCCUUAAGACUCCCAAGGCUGUGUCGUGACCCCGGGAAGCCAGGUUUCUCUCUGGGCGCAGCCAGCCGGCCCAGGAGAGUCUCAGUGCCGGGAAAAGCCUCCUCCUCUGGGUCCCCUGACUCCGUUUGAUCUUUCAGGGCACACUCAGAUCAGGGCAGCCAGACAAAACAGAUGUUAAAAAGAGAGCGUGUGAG